Molecule: ribosomal RNA, 255 nt
Filed under: uncultured bacterium
Lineage: Bacteria
Description: partial 16S ribosomal RNA
Rfam family: Bacterial small subunit ribosomal RNA
Source: RNAcentral
UACGUAGGGGGCUAGCGUUGUCCGGAAUCAUUGGGCGUAAAGCGCGUGUAGGCGGUCCGGUAAGUCCGCUGUGAAAGUCAGGGGCUCAACCCCUGAAUGCGGGUGGAUACUGCUGGGCUAGAGUCCGGAAGAGGCGAGUGGAAUUCCUGGUGUAGCGGUGAAAUGCGCAGAUAUCAGGAGGAACACCGAUGGCGAAGGCAGCUCGCUGGGACGGUACUGACGCUGAGGCGCGAAAAGCGUGGGGGAGCAAACAGG